CACGUAGGCGGAUAUUUAAGUCAGGGGUGAAAUCCCAGAGCUCAACUCUGGAACUGCCUUUGAUACUGGGUAUCUGGAGUAUGGAAGAGGUAAGUGGAAUUCCGAGUGUAGAGGUGAAAUUCGUAGAUAUUCGGAGGAACACCAGUGGCGAAGGCGGCUUACUGGUCCAUUACUGACGCUGAGGUGCGAAAGCGUGGGGAGCAAACA
Molecule: ribosomal RNA, 207 nt
Filed under: uncultured bacterium
Lineage: Bacteria
Description: partial 16S ribosomal RNA
Rfam family: Bacterial small subunit ribosomal RNA
Source: RNAcentral